RNAcentral lists this long non-coding RNA (225 nucleotides) under Elaeis guineensis (African oil palm). RNAcentral describes it as "long non-coding RNA (EGUI_LNC046124)". The record is from RNAcentral. Lineage: Eukaryota; Viridiplantae; Streptophyta; Magnoliopsida; Arecales; Arecaceae.
GACUUGUAAUAAGGCUAUUGAGUAACAUUUAGGAUUGUAGUUAUUUUGUAAGAAGUAGAAUGGCUGGAUGUUACGAAAGUGCAAUUUGUUAUGAACAUGUAAAAUCUAAAAAUAUCUAUCUUUUUCAAUUAUUCAAUUGCUUUUCACUUGAACUUAUAUUCUUUGUUCUUAUUCUAAAUUUUGUAUUUUAUCUUACUAAAUUCUGAAUCAAACAACGACAGCAGA